This 30-nucleotide non-coding RNA is filed under the name Rattus norvegicus (Norway rat). Lineage: Eukaryota; Metazoa; Chordata; Mammalia; Rodentia; Muridae. The record is from RNAcentral.
UCUGUUUUAUUCUCUGUGUACACUUAUCCC